This 1159-nucleotide non-coding RNA is filed under the name Astyanax mexicanus (Mexican tetra). RNAcentral's name for it is "Eukaryotic small subunit ribosomal RNA". It matches the Rfam family "Eukaryotic small subunit ribosomal RNA", at positions 4 to 1116 of the family's 1831-position model. Lineage: Eukaryota; Metazoa; Chordata; Actinopteri; Characiformes; Acestrorhamphidae. The record is from Rfam by way of RNAcentral.
CUGGUUGAUCCUGCCAGUAACAUAUGCUUGUCUCAAAGAUUAAGCCAUGCAGGUCUAAGUGCACACGGAAGGUACAGUGAAACUGCGAAUGGCUCAUUAAAUCAGUUAUGGUUCCUUUGAUCGCUCCACACGUUACUCGGAUAACUGUGGUAAUUCCAGAGCUAAUACAUGCAAACGAGCGCUGACCGGUCCUCUCUCGGGGGGGCCGGGAUGCGUGCAUUUAUCAGACCCAAAACCCACCCGGGGGGACCCGCGAGGGUUUCCCCCGGCCCUUUGGUGAAUCUAGAUAACCUCGGGUCGAUCGCGCGCCCACCGCGGCGGCAACGUCUCAUUCUAAUGUCUGCCCUAUCAGCUGUCGAUGGUAGCAUAGGGGGCUACCAUGGUGACCACGGGUAACGGGGAAUCAGGGUUCGAUUCCGGAGAGGGAGCCUGAGAAAUGGCUACCACAUCCAAGGAAGGCAGCAGGCGCGCAAAUUACCCAUUACCGACACGGUGAGGUAGUGACGAAAAAUAACGAUGCAGGUCUCUUUCGAGGCCCUGUAAUCGGAAUGAACGUAUCCUAAACACAUGGGUGAGGACCCAUUGGAGGGCAAGUCUGGUGCCAGCAGCUAUGGUAAUUCCAGCUCCAAUAGCGUAUAUUAAAUUUGCUGCAGUUAAAAAGCUCGUUGUUGGACUUCGGGAGUGGGCUGGCGGUCUGCCGCGAGGCGAGCUACCGCCUGUCCCAGACCCUGCCUCCCGGCGCCCCCCGGAUGCCCUUGGUUGGGUGUCCGGUCCUCAGGGGUCCGGAGCGUUUACUUUGAAAAAAAUCAGAGUGAUCAAAGCGGGCACCAAACUUGCCUGAAUGCCUGAGCUAGGAAUAAUGGAAUAGGACUCCGGUUCUAUUUUGUGGGUUUCCUGAACCAGGGCCAUGAUUAAGAGGGACGGCCGGGGGCAUUCGUAUUGCGCCGCUAGAGGUGAAAUUCUUGGACCGGCGCAAGACGGACGAAAGCGAAAGCAUUUGCCAAGAAUGUUUUUCAUUAAUCAAGUACGAAAGUCGGAGGUUCGAAGACGAUCAGAUACCGUCGUAGUUCCGACCGUAAACUAUGCCGACCCGCGAUCCGGCGGCGUUUAUUCAUGACCCGCCGGCAGCGUGCGGGGAAACCAGAGUCUUUGGGUUCCG